AAAUCACUAAUUAAACCUUUCAUAAAUACUGAGUCCAAAUCCGAUGGGCAAUCGGGCAUCAGAAUUCAUCGAUAUGUAACCCUGAUCGAAAAGUCCCAACCAGUGGGACUCUUGACCCCGGUACCCAUAAUGUGUGGAACUUAUGAUCAGAGAAUCUUGAUUCUCGAUCAUUGAGUUUUAAAUAUAUAAGAUUCUACAUCAGCCA
This 205-nucleotide long non-coding RNA is filed under the name Elaeis guineensis (African oil palm). RNAcentral describes it as "long non-coding RNA (EGUI_LNC050435)". Lineage: Eukaryota; Viridiplantae; Streptophyta; Magnoliopsida; Arecales; Arecaceae. The record is from RNAcentral.